GGUCCCAUGGUGUAAUGGUGAGCACUCUGGACUCUGAAUCCAGCGAUCCGAGUUCGAAUCUCGGUGGGACCU
Calypte anna (Anna's hummingbird) is the source of this 72-nucleotide non-coding RNA. NCBI's taxonomy places the organism in Eukaryota, Metazoa, Chordata, Aves, Apodiformes, Trochilidae. The record is from Rfam.